AGAUUGAACGCUGGCGGCAUGCCUAACACAUGCAAGUCGAACGGGAGUAGCAAUACUCUAGUGGCGGACGGGUGAGGAAUACGUAGGAAUUUGCCCUUAAGUGGGGGAUAACCCGGGGAAACCCGGAUUAAUACCGCAUGACCUCGAAAGAGCAAAGUGGGGGAUCGCAAGACCUCACGCUUUUGGAGAAGCCUACGUCGGAUUAGCUAGUUGGUGAGGUAAUGGCUCACCAAGGCGACGAUCCGUAACUGGUCUGAGAGGAUGAUCAGUCACACCGGAACUGAGACACGGUCCGGACUCCUACGGGAGGCAGCAGUGGGGAAUAUGGACAAUGGGCGCAAGCCUGAUCCAGCAAUGCCGCGUGUGUGAAGAAGGCCUUCGGUUGUAAAGCACCUAAGUUAGGAAGAAAAACGUACGACUCUUAACAACAGUGAGUACUUGACGGUUACCGACAGAAUAAAGACAACCGGCUAACUACUGUGCCAGCACGCCGC
Molecule: ribosomal RNA, 494 nt
Filed under: uncultured soil bacterium
Lineage: Bacteria
Description: bacterial SSU rRNA
Rfam family: Bacterial small subunit ribosomal RNA
Source: RNAcentral